Long non-coding RNA from Vicia villosa (hairy vetch), 403 nucleotides. RefSeq lists it as uncharacterized. The transcript has 3 exons. The record is from RefSeq and is a predicted model, not a curated record. Lineage: Eukaryota; Viridiplantae; Streptophyta; Magnoliopsida; Fabales; Fabaceae.
AGGAAAAUAUCCUGUAUGUGUUUCAAAUACAUUUAAUGUAACAACGUUGCACAUCAAUGAUGACCUCGCUGAAAUUAAGGAGUUCUUAAACAGUAUCCCAAAGCAAUGUUUAGCCGAUACUUCCGGUCAGAGUAUGACAUCGAUGUCCCAACUGUCUCAGACAUCUGGUAGCUCCCAACUAAGCUCGUACGAUAAAUUUAUGUAUAAGGCUUUGGUUCUCCCACUAAGUGAUGUUAAAAAGCUUACCGCUACCAAUCAAUGUGUCACCGUUGCUAAAAUCCUUCAAGUAAAAGCUUCUCAAGGAGGUUGGUAUUACCAAGCAUGCCAUGCUUGUCCAAGUAAAGCUAAAGGAAAUCAACCACCCUACGUUUGUAGUAACAAACACAAUACUGAAACUGAAAUU